This 1110-nucleotide long non-coding RNA is filed under the name Hordeum vulgare. Its description in RNAcentral is "long non-coding RNA (HVUL_LNC012718)". The record is from RNAcentral. Lineage: Eukaryota; Viridiplantae; Streptophyta; Magnoliopsida; Poales; Poaceae.
CAAAAUCAAGCUAACAGAAUAUAUUCUGCUUCUGACAGUAAACCUUGUGCAACCCUGAGACCGAACUCUCCUGCACAAAAUCCUGGAACGGGUUAUAAACCUAAUGUAGUGAGGUAAGUAAGAUGCAUCCUUUUAGCCAUCAAAAGCAAUAACACCAACUGUUUCAUAGAGGGACGUAUUAGCUAAUCCCUAUUUCUUUACCAUUUUACAGCAAUGACUAUUGAGGCACACCGCACACCACAAUUAUUAGUUUCUUAAACAGAAAUUAAGGUCAGUGUUAGGUUGUAGCUUCAGCAAAAAAUAUUGACACGGCCACGCGAAACCCACACUAGAACACUAAUUUGUAAUAGAGAGAAUUCCUUAUUUAACACUGGCUUAAAAUAUUUUGCCUUAUUUGACACCGCAUAAAAAAUUCUUCCUUAUCUAGCACGAAUGCUAAAAUUUGUUCCCUUUGUAACACUUCCAUCCAUUUUGACCACUCACGGUGUUAAAUGACACAUGAAAAGACGAAUUUACCCCUUAUGCAACUUGUGAUCAAAAUGAGCAAUAAGUUUUUCUGUUGUUCAAUGCAAAAUUGGGCAGUACCUCCCCUGUAAACAUGCAAAAAUACCUAUCUUGAAUUUAAAUUAUUUCACAGUUUAAUUCAAAAUUUGGGCAGAACCUCCGCUGUAAUUUGAUGCAUAUUCUGGUUACACAAUUCACAUACACAUAUUUUUCAACAAACAUAUUCAGAUUUGCACAUAAACAUCCAGGCUCACAUCCAAGUAAACAUAUGCAUAAUCAUUACUACUAGUACAAACCUAUACAAACUACUAAGUGCCCGGAACUUACCCCACUAGGCACGCCCCAGCCGUUUCCUUGCCUGACCCUGCAGCUCCUUCCGGUGCCUCCCCAGCCAUGCCCUAGCCUGAGCCUGAACCCACGCUGGCGGUCGAGCCCCUGGCUAAUGAAACACCCUGGCCCGAGCUCGUUGCAGCCACGCCCUGGUCACCACCGCCAUCCAUAGCCGCCACCGCCGCCGCCGUUGGGACUGGACCGAGGUUCGCCGCCGCCGCUGCUGCCUAGGGUUGGGAGGAAGGGGAUGAGGAGGCUGGUCGGGAGAAAGGGGAC